This 120-nucleotide ribosomal RNA is filed under the name Ochotona princeps (American pika). Lineage: Eukaryota; Metazoa; Chordata; Mammalia; Lagomorpha; Ochotonidae. The record is from RNAcentral.
GUCUACGGCCAUACCACCCUGAACGCGCCCGAUCUCGUCUGAUCUCGGAAGCUAAGCAGGGUCGGGCCUGGUUAGUACUUAGGUGGGAGAAUAAUCCAGUGAAUACUUUCUGUGUUUACU